UACGUAGGGUCCGAGCGUUGUCCGGAAUUAUUGGGCGUAAAGGGCUCGUAGGCGGUUCGUCACGUCGGGAGUGAAAACUCGGAGCUUAACUCCGAGCCUGCUUCCGAUACGGGCAGACUAGAGGUAGGCAGGGGAGAGCGGAACUCCUGGUGUAGCGGUGGAAUGCGCAGAUAUCAGGAAGAACACCGGUGGCGAAGGCGGCUCUCUGGGCCUUACCUGACGCUGGGGAGCGAAAGCGUGGGUAGCGAACAGG
This 253-nucleotide ribosomal RNA is filed under the name uncultured bacterium. RNAcentral describes it as "partial 16S ribosomal RNA". It matches the Rfam family "Bacterial small subunit ribosomal RNA", at positions 524 to 776 of the family's 1533-position model. The record is from RNAcentral.